ACCACUAAAACAAUGGCUUAUCUUCAACCAUUGAUCUUCUAUAUUCUGUCUGCUCUUGCAAUAUUCUGGCUUAUUUCUCCCUCCCAUUCCUCUUUAGAUAAUGUUAAUGACAAGACUACUGUGUCACUAUACUAUGAAACAAGUUUAUGUCCACGUUGUGCCUCCUUUAUCUCCAAUGACCUCGUCAAGGUCUUCCACACUGACCUCCAUACCAUUAUCAAUCUAAGAUUGGUCCCUGGGAGCAAUGCUGAAAUCCAUUGCCAGCAUGGAGAAGAAGAAUGCCACUUAAACACUAUACAUAGUUGUGUCAUCCAUUUCUGGCCUGAUGUGAAAGAACACUUGGAAUUUAUUGGUGUUGAAAUUGGCCAACCAUGCUGCUGUUUGAAGUGCAUGCAGCUUGAUGACAUGCUGCAGCACGUAUACUUGCUGUAACAGCAAGGUUUUCUCUUUAGUUUCUUUGUUAAGCUACUUAGUUGAAAAUGAACUAAGUUGGUAUUGUUUUGAUGUUUUUAGGUGCUGAUUGACAUAAUCAGCUUGUGUGCAAGUUAAGUUUUACUUGUUUCAAAGUAAAACUAGUGGUAGUAGGUAGUAUUUGGUGAUGUAUUUGACUAUAUAUAUGUUAUUUUUCUAGUUGAAUGAAUGAGCUGAAUGAGCUAUCAGCCAUUAGCUCCCUUGCUGCACGUUUGUGAGCAAGUAAAUUGUUUUUGUUUCUUCCUCCUUUGUUCUCUGUCUUGUUCUGUUUCUUUUUACUGCUGCCAUAGUUCCAACAAUUGGCUGCACAGAGCAACAAAGCUUAAAGGGGGGGGCCCGUUGAAGCACUGUGGAAAAAUUGCAGUGAAAAGCUGAGAUUGAAUGAGGAGAUAAUCAACAAAUGCUAUACCACUGGAUUUGGAUAUAAGCUUCUGCUGCAAUAUGCUAACGAGACUGCACAUCUGAAGCCACCUCAAGAAUAUGUGCCAUGGGUGGUGGUGAAUAAUCAGCCACUCAGACAAGACUUUGAAAAUUUUAUGAAAUAUGUGUGCCAAGCUUAUAAAGGAGAUCAUAAACCAGCUGCUUGCAAAGCACAACCAUCCAAUCUCAGCCCAACCAUCUAUGCAUCAUUUGCAGUACCCCAGCCGCCAGUAAUUCCAGUGGUAGACUUCUACAAGUUGGCACUUCAGUUGCCUCCCUCUGUUUGUAGGUCUACUCUCAACUGUAAACUCCCAAUCCCAACUGAAUUCAAAAUACAUGGAAUUUGGGCGCAUACAUGGAAUUUGGGCGCAAGACGCUCAUGACAUGCCGGUGCCCCCAUAUGAUACACAUCAUCCCUGCACCAAUCCACAACCUACCAUAUUACAAUCAAAACUCAGAAAAUUGUUGAAAAGCGAUGUAGCUCUUUGGAACCAAUUGCCCACACUAUGGCCGAACUUGGCAUCGACAGAGUCAGACAUUGGGUUUUGGUUCAAGGAAUGGAAGAAACAUGGCACAUGUUCCGACUUUGCACAACAUCCUCUGUCAUACUUCCAAUCGGCCAUACAACUUAGGACAAAUUUAAAUCCAGCUAUGGGACUCACACGUGGAUCCACCUAUACGGUCCAACAAGUAGUGGAUAUAGUUUUCCGACUUAUAGGAGCAUCUCCACAAAUUUCAUGCAGUAAACACAGAAGAACUAGAGUUCUACUACUCAGGGAGAUGUUUAUUUGUUAUGGAAGACCGGGGCCAUCCCAUACCUUUGGAACUCCCCAAAAUUGUUCCAACUUAUUUUACGGCCUGUGCAGUAGUGGAUCCGAUACCAUAGAAUUUCCAUAGUCAGCUUUACCACAAUUGUCUCAUAUAUGUUUAAAAAUGUUUAAUGUAAUAUCUGAAUUAUCAAUAUGUGUUUUAUUACAGCACUCUAAAUUAUCA
This is an RNA transcript of Gossypium raimondii (Peruvian cotton), 1884 nucleotides long. RefSeq lists it as uncharacterized. Lineage: Eukaryota; Viridiplantae; Streptophyta; Magnoliopsida; Malvales; Malvaceae. The transcript is spliced from 8 exons. The record is from RefSeq and is a predicted model, not a curated record.